UAAUGAACAUAACACGGAGCAAAAUAACACAAAUAAUUAUGAUUCUAAUCAUUGUAAUUCACGAAUAUAUGGAUACUAUAUCGAAUAAACGACUCUUUUAAGAGGAUGGAAUCUCUCCUGUAUGCGGUAAAUCGAAGAGAUCCGAUGCUAACCGCUAAAGUGAAGACUAUUUUGCUGAGAGGAGAUGUUGCUAUGCGUGGCGUAGUACGACACGGUGAUGGGCAGCAAGUGGCGGACGUCCGGGGCGGGCUGCGACGACAGAUUGAGCUCCACCGAGUCCCUCACGACCCAGAAGGGCUCCUCGGGCAUCUGGUGCUCGUAGAAGAUCACUCCUGACUCCAGCUGAGGAUGAGGCAGGUUUUCCACUGCACGGCUGCUUGUCUCGACUCCUCACCUGGAAACACCAUCAGCUCCUCUUGCGUUACCAUGGAGAUGGUGAGGGGCCUGGCCGUGACCACGAACCUGUAGAGAGGAGACGUGUGCUGGCCGUCCGUCACCGUGAAGCUGAAGCCGCCGGACUCCUCGCCUGCAGACAAACACAUUUUAACCACGUGACUCGCCGACGCACGCAAGCGUCUCGACCCUCAUCCCCCCCUCACCCUCGUGGAUGAAGAUGAUCUCCCCCUUGUCGAUUUGGGCCUGCGUGAAGUUGGCAAUGGCCUCCUCCGGGAACUCCUUGAACGCCGCCAUGCCGCCGGUGGUGGCCUCCAGGUUGUAGACCAACGCCUCCGUGGGGGUGUCGGCGUCCUCUGUGGUUAACAUGCUGGACGUGAUGUCGGCCUCCUCGCCGGGGAGCACCUGGGAGCGAAGAUGACACGAUGGAUGCCACAACAUUAGGUACCCCAGAACACUCUCACAUCAACCAAUACAACAACUGAUAUUUAUAGACCUUAUAAGGUUUUACGAUCAUUUUAUUCUUAUGGUUGUAGUUUGUUCAUAACUCAGGGCUGUUUCCGAUAACUUCACCCUCUCAUUUAGCUUUUAAACAUGGAUAACAAAAUAUUACCAACACCUUUCAGUACAUGAUAAAAUGGAAAAGCAACUGACUAAAACAAAUGUUCUGAUUCUUCCUGGUGACAUCACUUGUUGCUAGGCAGAAUCCAUAGUGCACAUUGAUUGGUGCCCCAAAGAGGUGUUUUUGAGACAAAAGUUUGCAUGCCAAUCACUCUCGCUAUACUGUUUCCACGGCAACUUGGUCUGCAGAGAAAUAGAACAAGUCAUAUAUUUAAUUUGAUGUAUUGCUCUGUUCUAACACUAAUCAUUACCAUAACUUUAUAUAUUGAACAUAUUUUUAUUAUUGGAUGCAUUCAAAUAUAAAACAAGUUAUUUUAAUGAAAGCACUAAAAAUAGAAAACAAUUUGGAUUAUUAAGUGAACAUUUUUAACCGGUGUAUUAUCGCAGCCAAUCAAGUUUUCACUCACAUUCAUGAAAAGAGCAACAACAAGAAGCAUGUUUUUUUUUUUAUCUCCAGGGAGAAAAAAAAAAUCGUUCCUGCUAGACGAGCAAAAAAAAAAAUAAAAAAAAAUCAAUGCUUCCCUGGCCGACGCUAAUCUGAGAGACAGCAAGCAGCGAGCAACCUCAAAGCGUGGACUGCCAAGUCUUGAAAGUCAGGAAAAGGUGGUUGGGGUCAAACUCACAAAAGGCAAAAUAUUGCAGUAAAAUGAUGUCUCUGUAGUUUCUCUUUUGGAGUCAAUUCUUGGUAUACAGAUGGGGAAUGAAAAUGCCGAACGCAGGGAAAUGCAUCGAUAUUGUUUUUCAGAUAAUUGCAUAAUGUUUUAAUGGAGAUUUAGAAAAUAUUUGAUAUAUUUUUUCAUACUUAAAAAAACCCAAAACAUU
Long non-coding RNA from Nerophis lumbriciformis (worm pipefish), 1836 nucleotides. RefSeq lists it as uncharacterized. Lineage: Eukaryota; Metazoa; Chordata; Actinopteri; Syngnathiformes; Syngnathidae. The record is from RefSeq and is a predicted model, not a curated record.